Molecule: long non-coding RNA, 1433 nt
Filed under: Phoenix dactylifera (date palm)
Lineage: Eukaryota; Viridiplantae; Streptophyta; Magnoliopsida; Arecales; Arecaceae
Description: long non-coding RNA (PDAC_LNC008449)
Source: RNAcentral
GCCGCCGCUUGACACCGGAUCGAGCUUCCCUUGGCCGAGACCCACCACCUCCGUCGACCGCCGGUGAGCAUCCCUCCUCCUUGCCUUCGUUCUCAUGCCAAAUAACAUGAUGCUUCUUCCGUUUCGGCCCCAAACCGAGAUCACCCUCGGCCUCUUCCUCCCUGUCAGCCACCGCAAUGGCCGCCGACCGCCAUGGCGGCCGGCUGACCGUCGACCGAGGGGUGGCCUCCGGCCACCCCGCCGCCCUCUUCCUCUUCCGCUAUCCCUCUCGGUUUCCCUGCCGUGGGGGGCGGUUGGGGAAGAAGAUAGCCAAUGUGGGCCGAAUUGGGCCAAGCUUGGCCCAGUUCACUGUGGGCCUAGCUUAGGCCCAGUUGGAACCUGCAAAAAAAAAAAAAAAAAAGAAGAAGAAGAAAACCUGAAACCAGCUCAGACCCGAAAUCUAGAAUCCAGUUCAGAUUCGAAAUCCGACCCAAAACCCAGUUCAACUCUGAACCCGAACCCGGAGCCCAAACCCGAACCCGAAACCCGAAACCCGAAACCUAGAAUCCGAAAUUUGAAAUCCAGUUCUGACCCGAAAUUCGAAAUCCAAAAUCCGAAACUUGAAACCCAGAACCCAAAAUCCGAACCUGUUUGGCCAGUAAAUGAAAUUUUACAGUUAAGCCCUUGAUAGUAUAUUAUUGCACAAAAGAGCCUUCUGUAAUUUAGGUUUGAUCCCUCUAAGAAAGUUGUAUUGCAUAAAGGUCCUCAAAUAUAUUAUUAAGUCCAUUCACUCAAGUUUUAUUAAGUAUUAGUCCCUGCAAUGAAUUUUAUUGCAUAAAUGAACUAAUUAGAAGCCAACCUUGGGGGCCCUAUUUAGCUGGGUCUAUGCGGGCCCAUUGGGUCGUGUCCGAUAUGGGCCCUAUCGGACCAUGCCCAUUAUGGGCCAACUCUAGGACCUGUUGGAUCGUACUCAGUAGUAUUAUUUCUGGAUUUUGCUCAGCUCUGAAAUUAACAAGGAAUUAAUUAAAUUUAAACAGGUGAACCUGAUCCGCCUAUCUGAAGCAGGGGUUAGGCGAGAAGAGGUAAGUAACUUAAUGCUUCAAAGUGCAUUUUCGAAAUUAUUUGGUAAAAUAAUUAUUAGUGGAUUAAUUUUGAAACAUGUUUUGUAAAAUGGGUCUGGCAUGUUUAAAUUUCAUUUGAAUAUUUUGUUAUAUGCUCUGAAAUCCGUAAAAUAUGAUUAGACAAUUUAUGAAAUUUAUAUUUGUAUAUAUGCAUUCUCAGCAUGGCUAUGAUCUGUUCUGUUCUGGCCCCGCUAAUGGGGAUUAUACGUUGGCCCUGUCGACUUGUAAUCUGUGAGGAACCGGUUUCGACACUGUACCACCGGUGAUUAGAAUAGUGGUAUUUGGACACCGUACCACCGGUGCUUAAUAAUAGUGGUGUUUGGCACCUUGUGC